This is a long non-coding RNA of Eublepharis macularius, 1150 nucleotides long. RefSeq lists it as uncharacterized. The record is from RefSeq and is a predicted model, not a curated record. The transcript has 2 exons. NCBI's taxonomy places the organism in Eukaryota, Metazoa, Chordata, Lepidosauria, Squamata, Eublepharidae.
AGGAGCAGCUGGCGAAGGCAGCGGCAGGAGUGGCACUGAGGUCACAGAGACUCAAGAGGCGUCCGGUGAUGUGGAGCAGGCGUGGCCGGAGGACUCAUCUCCUGUGGCGGUAGCUGUGGAACCUGUGGAAUGUGGAGGUUUUGGAGCACGCUUUGCCCAACAACGGAUCCUGAUCUGCGGGCACAGUUAUGUUUUUUGGGCGGCCCAUCAAGCAAGACGGACAUCUGUGGGGUCACAGCUGGGACUGAGUGAGAAGGCGGUGGUAGAAUGGCUGGGUCGCCGAGGCCUCAGGUGGUCAGGUCUCUUGCCGUUGCUGUUUGAGCGGGGGCGUGUACCCCCCAUAUCCUAGUUGUUCAUUUAGGUGGCAAUGACUUGGGGAUGCUCCAGGGCAGGGCCUUGUCUGCUCAGGCGCAUGCUGAUUUGCGCCUUAUUGCGGAGCGGUGGCCUGGAGUGCUGAUUGUAUGGUCAGCAAUGGUCCCUCGUUUGGUUUGGAGGGAAGCUGGGUGCCGACAAGCCAUCGAGAGAGCGAGGAUGAAGGCCAAUAGGGCCAUUCAGAAAGCUUUGGAAGGAGGGCUGGGAGUGUAUUUGCCUCAUCCUCGAAUCAGGGCCGAGGUGCCGGGCCUAUACAGAGGUGAUGGCGUGCACCUUUCUGAGGCUGGCAACCGAAUAUUUUUGGAUGAUUUGCGGCAAGGGCUUCAGCUGGCCCUAGGUUAUCGGUGGGGCGCCGAGGCCUAAGCAGAGGCUUGGCCUCGGCGUUGGCAGGUUUUGGGUAGUUAGGGUGCGGGUUGGUGAGCACCAUUGGCGCUUCCCCUUUAGUGGGAAGAGGGGUCUGCCCGAAGGGCUGGUACUGCUUUGACGGCUGCCAGUAGCAGGGGCAGGCUGCCUUUGGAAACCCCGGCUUCCGAGUCCUUACCUCACUGCUAUACGGCUGAGGUGUUAGGAGCUUGAGAAGGGGGUGACCACGUUGCCUGGCCGGCCGGGUCCGCGCCAUCCAAGGGAUGGGUCGCACCCGGGGCUUCGGGGCUCGCCCAGACAGGUCAGGGCGGUGGUCCAGGGGGAACCCGUGGCCUGACCUGUACCGCUUUAGGCCCUUGCCGCUGUGUGUAUUAAUGUUAAUGUAUAUAGUUAAUAAAGUGGCCCUUAGAUCCAA